This is a small nucleolar RNA of Argentina anserina (silverweed cinquefoil), 84 nucleotides long. RefSeq annotates it as small nucleolar RNA U83. NCBI's taxonomy places the organism in Eukaryota, Viridiplantae, Streptophyta, Magnoliopsida, Rosales, Rosaceae. The record is from RefSeq and is a predicted model, not a curated record. The transcript has a single exon.
AGCCGAUGAUGAUUAUAUGGUGAUCGUGUAAUUGAUGACUAAAUGUGAUUACAUACAUACCUAUACUGCCUUCCUUAUGAGGCU